CUAAUUUUGGGGGACAAUAGCUGCAAAUUAGAAGACUGGAGGAGGACUGGAUCGUGCCGAGUGUGACAGCGAGUGAGAGGAGAUCGUUCCCAUUCGGGGAGUGAACUUUGGGGUGCGAAUCCAAGCUGUCGGAGCCACCGGCUGGCCCCCCCCAGGAGAUGUUACCACAUGUCUGGAAUAACUAAAAGUGAUAUCGGAGAGGAGCGGACAGACGGCUCGAUGUGUUUAAACAUUAUAUUUACAUUUAGCUGAGGCUUUUUUUCCCCAAAGCAACGUGCAACAAGUGCAUCCAACCGACAGGCUGCUUCCUCGUCGCCAUGGAGACCAGAAGACAAUGAAAACUAAGGAACAUCUUGUUUAGACGUUGAGUAUAGCUAGCGUAGCAUAGACAAGCUAACGCUAGUCAACAAUGAACUAAGAUCAGAACGUGCCAUGCUAAUGUUAGCUCCACAGGCUUUGCAAUACAAACGUAGAUAUUUAAACACGACGAGCUGCACUGAACCAGCGUGAGAUAUUCUCAAAGUGCGGUUUUUAAAUGUUGGAUUUUAAAGCUUCCCAAGCUGCCGUUGAGCACAACAAGACCAAAUGUACAAAAUCCAAACAACAGCUGCCGUGUAAACACAAGCGUCACUUCUCAUUAUCUGGGCGAUGAAUCAUAGGAUGAAGACAUCCAGCCUCCUUCACGCGGUUCUGCAUCAGCUACUCGCGCACCCGGAACAUAAGCCAAUUUGGAGAUCUUUUGCAUGACGAAGCAUCGAUCGGCCACACUGGAGGAGAAGGCUCGGGGGAGCCGUGGCAUCAGCACAACCAGGAACAAGCAGAGCAGAGGAGGCGUCGCAAUGAGUCACGAGGCCGAUGAGAGCCGCUGAUUCAGACGUGUUUCAGAAACGUCUUCAUCCCCCUGAAUGCCAAUACGAUGGAAGAUGAUUGGAUUUCAUCUGGUGGUCUACAAGCUAUCUGUUCAUCAAGUGUUUGAUUUAACUCCACUUUAAGACUUGGCUUUAGACACCUCAACGUCACGGAGAAAUACACUUUAAUUGAUUUCAUUCUGAGUGUUAGAAGAUUGUGAAACAUUAAAAUGUGAAGCUGC
This is a long non-coding RNA of Gasterosteus aculeatus aculeatus (three-spined stickleback), 1090 nucleotides long. The record is from Ensembl. NCBI's taxonomy places the organism in Eukaryota, Metazoa, Chordata, Actinopteri, Perciformes, Gasterosteidae.